Suricata suricatta (meerkat) is the source of this 1356-nucleotide long non-coding RNA. RefSeq lists it as uncharacterized. The record is from RefSeq and is a predicted model, not a curated record. The transcript has 3 exons. Lineage: Eukaryota; Metazoa; Chordata; Mammalia; Carnivora; Herpestidae.
CUGAAGCAGUGGGUCCAGCCAUGGGUCAGCUCUGCCUGGAAAGACCUUCCUCAGGAGGGGACAGAAUGGAGGGAAAGGCGGGAGCUGGCACUGGUGCGGAAUAAGGGAUCAGACCCCCCUAGUCCCAGGGAAAGGCUCCAGCACUGGUCUCUGACCCCGGCUGGCUCGGUGCCUCCAGAGGCCACUCCGCUAAGAUCAAGCAGUGAUCCUGGCCUGCUGAGAACCAGGUACGAGCCCAAGGCGGUUACCAUGGUGGCUGCCAUUCCCCCACCUCCUGGGUGCCAGCUGGUGUGGCUCUUUCAAGUCAGGUGCCCAGCGGAGAGAAGAAAGUGCCUCACGAGGGGACUUCAGAAGCCCAGAGGACACCUCAGGAUAGAGUGACAAGCAGGAGGAAGCAGGGAGGGCUGCUGGCUGGUCUUCCCUCCUCUCAGGCUUCAGUCCCCAGGAUCUGACUCCUCAGCGCCUGACCUCGGAGGCCCCUGGAUGCCCACUGGCACCUGCCACUCCACACGGCCCAGCUGGAUCUGCCCUGUCCUUCUUCCAGUUCUUGCUCCAUGUCCCCCUUCUAGCAGGAACCUUAGUUUCCUCGUCUACAGGAUGGAGAUAACAAAGUGCCCUUCACAGGGUUUCCUGAGGACGAUGUGAGGCAAGGCACGUGGAAGCCCUCCUGGACAGCAACAGCCCGCACGGCCCCUCCCUGGCUCUCCGCAGUCAGCCCGGACCACCUGCUUCUCGCUCACAUCCCCUCACUGUGUGAACUAUCCCCAGAGACUGUUGAGACCAGGAGGGCCGGGCCAGGGUCUCCUGGAUCCCAGCACUAACUCCAAGAAACCGAGGUUCCAGGCUGAGGAAGCUACAGGCCUCCAGACCACUCCCAAGUCCCAGGCAGGCCUUCCCCCUCCCCAACAGGGCAGGCACCCAGCCUCUGUGUGAGCUGCCUGGUGACAGGGCGCUCACUCUUUGAGCAGACUGAGGUAGUUCUGUGGACAGCAUGAUACAGUCAGCCAUGCUCAGGUCCCUGUCCCAGAUCUGCCUGCACCUUGCUGUGUGACUAUGGAAUGUCUGCUUAACCUCUCUGAACUCCAGUCUCCUCAGACUGUCCUUAAUAUGUAUCUAGGCACUAAGUGGUUUUGCGGUCAUGCCCUCUCUGGGCGUUAGUUUCCCCAUCUGCAUACGAUGGGGGUGGACCUGCCCCUCUCCCAGGCAGCAGACCUCCGGGUCAGCAGAACUGUCCAAGUCUGCAGUCGAGGGCCUGCAGGGAAUGUUCCCACUUAUGCACAACAGUGCCUGUGCUUUGGGGAUGCAUAAUUGAUUUAUGGCAUUUAAUAAAGGCCGGAGGCUACCUCUGGGACUCAG